This 939-nucleotide ribosomal RNA is filed under the name Dentigloborotalia anfracta. RNAcentral describes it as "partial small subunit ribosomal RNA". It matches the Rfam family "Eukaryotic small subunit ribosomal RNA", at positions 1214 to 1805 of the family's 1831-position model. The record is from RNAcentral. Lineage: Eukaryota; Foraminifera; Rotaliida; Globorotaliidae.
CUUACCGGGUCCGGACACACUGAGGAUUGACAGGCAAUAUUAAUUUUUAUUCGUAAAAAUUAUGUUAAAUAUGCUAGUCCUUUCAUGAUUAUGUGAUAGGUGGUGCAUGGCCGUUCUUAGUUCGUGGAGUGAUCUGUCUGCUUAAUUGCGUUUCACUAAGGGCCUAUAAAUUUACGUGUGUUGCGGCACUUUGACCCCUCUUUUUAAGAGCGCGCGUCUUAGUUUGCUUUGCUCGCACAAUUAGGUCCUGAAAGCAACGAACGUGACCGCAACCUCUUGUUGCCUUUAUACCAAACGCGUUUAAAAAUUUUUAAUUUUUUUUCGCGAAAAAAGGCUUUUUAAACUAGAGGGACCGCUGUUACUUUCUUAAACCAGAGGAAGGUUGCGGCAAUAACAGGUCUGUGAUGCCCUUAGAUGUUCCGGGCUGCACACGUGCUACAAUGAUUAUUGCAGUGAGCAUCUCAUUUUUUACACACCGCAUGCGCGAGUCCGCUUAUUCUGUCUUUCGGGACUGUUUUAAGCGUGUAUCUCUGCGCGCGGUAAAGCCUGCUUCGAAAGUAAGUGGGUAAUCAAUUAGAAGUAAUGAUUUCCUUUUUUUUUUCAGCACAAAUAUAUACGGCGUUUAUGCCCGGGCUGCCUUGUUGUAGCUUUUGUGCGCAUAGAUGUUUUUUCCGUAUGUGCGAUUGUCAAUUCAUGGUGGGGACAGACCAUUGUUAAUUGUUGGUCUCGGUCUUAACUAGGAAUGCCUUGUACGGGUCUUUGGUUCAACAAACCACCCGGAAUACGUCCCUGCCCUUUGUACACACCGCCCGUCGCUCUUACCGAUGGACUUCUCUGUGAGUUUGAGGGACUGGGAACGCAGUCUCGUGCUGCAUAACCUAUGGAAACUUAAACGAACAGUGUGGUCUAAAGGAAAGAGAAGUCGUAACAAGGCAUCGG